UUUUGAAUUACAAGGUAUUGAAUAAGACUUUAAUUGAGUGCUAAGAGAAUGGACUUUCAAAAAAAUGCUUUCUUAAUUUUAAAAAUUGAAAUUAUUUUUUUUUGUGAAGAAACAACAAUAAAAAUUAAAGACAAGAAGACCCUAAGAAUUUUUAUAAAUUUAUUAUAUUAAUAUACAAUACAUUUAUUUAAUUGGGGCGAUUUGAAAAUAUUUAAAACUUUUUAAAAACUAAUAAGAUCCAUUAAUAAUGAUUUUAUGAAAAAAAUACUCUAGGGAUAACAGCGUAAUAAUUUUAGAUAGAUCUUAUAGAAAAAAUAGUUUGCGACCUCGAUGUUGGAUUAGGAUUCUUAUUUAAUGAAGAAGUUAAAAAAAGAAGUUUGUUCAACUUUUAAAUUCCUACAUGAUCUGUU
This 410-nucleotide ribosomal RNA is filed under the name Haemaphysalis concinna. RNAcentral describes it as "partial small subunit ribosomal RNA". Lineage: Eukaryota; Metazoa; Arthropoda; Arachnida; Ixodida; Ixodidae. The record is from RNAcentral.